UGUAUCUGGAAGCCCCUCACACCUGACUCUUUUUAACAGUUGUAGACUUUUCUGGAUCCUUCAUUGAAUGGCACAAGAUGUGACAAUAGCAAGCUUGUCCGCAAGGAUUCAUCUUUGCAUCCUCCUGUCUCUUCCUCCAAGGAGUUGCUUAGUGAAGUCUUGUUGCAGGUAUAGCCAAGGGCCACAUGAAGAAUCACAUGUCACCAGCAAGAACCUGAAGAAAAACAGAAAAUUAAGUCCUGCUGCCCUAACACCUACUCCCUGGUUUGACAUCCAGGGUAAGUCUGCUAAACAGAGCAUAUGUGUGUGCAGUUCCGUCAUGUCUGACUCUUUGUGACCUCAUGGACUGUAGCCCACCAGGCUCCUCUGUCUAUAGGAUUUUCCAGACAAGAAUACUGGAGCGGGUUGCGAUUUCCUUCUCCAGGGGAUCUUCCCAACCCAGGGGCUGAACUCACAACUCUUGCAUCUCUGGCAUUGGUAGGCAGGUUCUUUACCACUGGUGCCACCUGGGAAACCGAAAACCAAGUAAUUUGCCCCUAAAUGUCUCUAGUGACUUAUCAUGGCUCUUUUUGUCUGACGUGUUAACAGUAGCCUCAGUGAAAUGACAACAACAAAAAUUCUAUUCAGGACCUUGCCAUGGAAAUGCUCAUGGGUUGGAGUGGAGAGGUACAGAAUGGUCUGCUGUGAUGUACGAAAUCCUUGGUUUGGGGGACGUUAAGAGAGUCAAACCCUGAUGCUGGAGAAGUUGAUGGGCAGCACAGAACAGGAGGAAGGUUCUAUCAGAGAAGAGAAGGUGGAUCACCAUGACAACUCCUGAGUAAGGAGGGGUCACUGUGGGUAGACAGAUUCCACUCACAGGCUUCGUGAUUGUCUCGAAAGCUGGAGUUAGAUCUCACUUUCAACUGGAUGGAUCAAAAGGACAAUGAGAAUUCUAGCAACAGGUAGAGGGAAGGAAGAGGAAGAGCACUGUGAUGGUUGUUGCCCUUGAGGGCACUGCGCUAAGUGAAAUAAGUCAGACAGAAGAAGAUCACUACCAUAUGAUCUUGCUUGUAUGUGGAAUCUGAAAAAGCCAAACUCACGGGAAACAGAGGACAGGUUGGUGGUUGCCAGCCUUGGGGGUGAGGGGUGGGAGAAAUGAAUGAAGGUGGUCAGAAGUUACAGACUUCCAGUUACAAGAUAAAUAAAUCCUGGAGAUGUUGUAUACA
This 1205-nucleotide long non-coding RNA is filed under the name Bos indicus x Bos taurus (hybrid cattle). Its description in RNAcentral is "lncRNA (ENSBIXG00000006080.1)". Lineage: Eukaryota; Metazoa; Chordata; Mammalia; Artiodactyla; Bovidae. The record is from RNAcentral.